Hyaena hyaena (striped hyena) is the source of this 83-nucleotide non-coding RNA. The record is from the annotation of a RefSeq genome assembly. NCBI's taxonomy places the organism in Eukaryota, Metazoa, Chordata, Mammalia, Carnivora, Hyaenidae.
GCCUGGGUGGCUCAGUCGGUUGAGCAUUCGACUUCCGAUCGGGUCAUGAUCUCAGUUCGUGGGUUCGAUCCCCGCAUCGGGCU